Non-coding RNA from Eucalyptus grandis, 163 nucleotides. The record is from Rfam. NCBI's taxonomy places the organism in Eukaryota, Viridiplantae, Streptophyta, Magnoliopsida, Myrtales, Myrtaceae.
AUACUUACCUGGACGGGGUCGAUGGGCGAUCAAGAAGGCCCAUGGCCUAGGUUGGCGACCUCCAUUGCACUCUCGGAGGGGCGCCCGCCUAAGGUCAGCCCAAGUUGGUUGAGCCUACGUCGUAAUUUGUGGCAGCGGGGGCCUGCGUUCGCGCGGCCCCUAC